Molecule: long non-coding RNA, 518 nt
Filed under: Ictidomys tridecemlineatus (thirteen-lined ground squirrel)
Lineage: Eukaryota; Metazoa; Chordata; Mammalia; Rodentia; Sciuridae
Description: lncRNA (ENSSTOG00000032186.1)
Source: RNAcentral
AAGCCAGGAGUCGGAGCCAAGGCUAUGGGCAAAGCCAAGAAGCAGUCACAGGAUUAGCACAUCAGAACAAGCCCCAGAACGGCUGCUGAACCCAUGGUCCUCCCUAAGGCCCUGUGUCCUUUGGAGGCAUUCUGUGUCCACGGACUGGCAUUCCCCAAAGAAUGCAAUCUAGGAGGUGAGAAUGGGACAACUGAGAAUAACCUCUGCCUUUGCAAGAACUUUUGCCUUGAAGAACACACCAAGAGUCUUAUGGAGAGUGUCUUAAAUCCCUUCUGCACAUUCUUUAAAACAGGUUUACAGAUCAGAGAGAGAACCAAAUUGGUAAUGAGUGAAAACAGAACAACGUGGCCCAGAUGAUGGCUGCUAUACUCCAGCUACUUGUUUCUGAUGGAAGAGGCUGUCAAAACUCUGGGGAGCAUGCUCAUCAUGUGUGCUAAGAACUAAGUGUACCUAGCACAUAGUACAAGGUCAGUAAGUAUUUGAUGACUCCUUGGUUAAGAAGGGAAUGUAUAAUUUAA